UUGUGCUCUGAUCUUUUUUUUUUUAAGUAGAAAUGAGGCUGGGGUUGUAGCUCAGUUGUACAGUGCUUACCUAGCAUGUGUGAGGCCCUGGGUUCGAUCCCCAGUACCACAUCAAAAAAUAAAUAAAUAAGUAAAUAAAUGGGAUGGGGUUGUGGCUCAGUGGUAGCGUGCUUGCCUAGCAUGCUUGGCGCACUGGGUUCAAUUCUCAGCACCACAUACAAAUAAAUAAAAAUAAAAGGUCGAUCAACAACUAAAAAAAAAUAUUUAAAAGAAAAACAAAGGUAAACUAAAAAUAUUUUUUUUAAAAAGUACAAAUGAAAUGUGUUUUAGUAACUUAUAUACCAUAAUAGUAAUAUCACUUUGUCAGUAUGAUUGUUGAAGAGUGAUCAUUAUGCUGUAAGUAUAACAAAAAGUAAUGUGGCUUAGUAAACAGUGGACUGAAUGAGUCGUGCAGAGACACAAUGUAAAAUUGCUUACUGGGAUGUUGGGUGUGAGAUAUCCUCUCAUUCUUAGUAAUCUUAGCUAUAUGUUUCAGAUAUUUGUUGCAAAAAAAAAAACUUUGUAUAAGAUAUUUAUAUCUCGUCCACAUGUGUAUGAAUUAGUUUAUACUGCAGUAUUAAGUAUGCAUAAUGUGUUGCUUUAGCCCUCUAUCGUGCAGCUCAUAACAGUUCAUGAGCUCAAAUGUUUUUAAAACUACCCCGAGGACUGGGGUUGUGGCAGAUCGCUUGCCUAGCAUGUGUGGGGCACUGGGUUCGAUUCUCAGCACCACAUAUAAAUAAAUAAAGGUCCAUUGACAACUAAAAAAUUAAAAAAAAAAAAAAAAAACUACCCCUGAACUCAAUUAUUGGGUUGGUUUUACAGUUGAAAUUUUAGGAAGAAAUGGUUGUACUUAAUGAUUUACCUAGUGUUUUAACUGUAAUCUUGAAAACUUUUUUUUUUUUUUUGGUACCAGGAAUUGAAUCCAGGGGCACUUAACCACUGAGCUACAUCCCCAGCCCUUUUUAUUUAUUUAUUUGAGACAGGGUCUCACUAAGUUACUGGGUCUGGCCUCAAACUUUGAAUCCUCCUGACUCAGCCUCUCAGACUGCUGGGAUUACAGGCAUGACCCACUGUGCCCAGCUAAUUCUUCACAAAUUCUAAUAGCCAGAAUUUGUUAUUAACUACUUAAACAAAGGGAAAAAACCCAUCACCAACUUUUGAAAAACAUACCUGACUACAGUAACAUACUCUGAGGGUCAGCAGAAUGACAAUACUUAAUGUUCUGAGCCCCAUUCUUUCAGAACAUGUGACACCUUAGUGUGAUGUGAAUUUACUGCAGUUAAAUCUUCUCUUUUCAACAUCCAUCAAACAAUUUAAAUGUAAUAAUGAUACUUGGAAUUGUAAGAAGAAAAGAGAACUAAUUGCCACAGCAGGUGGAAAUCAGUUAAAUUUGUUGACUUUCCAAGCCAUAACAAGGUUUCAGUCAUGCAUAAUGUGUUGCUUUAGAGCUCUAUCAUGCAGCAACCAAGAAUUGGACACAAAGAUUGAAACUCCCCAGGCUGCUCAGCACAGUGAUUUUUUUUUCCCUGAGCUCUGCCCAGAGGAGUCUGCAGAUACUGAAAUCUGAUGCUUUUUCUGGAAUGACUGCUGGUAUUCUCUCCUGCUGUUAGACUUAAG
This 1656-nucleotide long non-coding RNA is filed under the name Marmota monax (woodchuck). The record is from RNAcentral. Lineage: Eukaryota; Metazoa; Chordata; Mammalia; Rodentia; Sciuridae.